This 558-nucleotide ribosomal RNA is filed under the name uncultured bacterium. Its description in RNAcentral is "bacterial SSU rRNA". It matches the Rfam family "Bacterial small subunit ribosomal RNA", at positions 28 to 581 of the family's 1533-position model. The record is from RNAcentral.
GACGAACGCUGGCGGCGUGCCUAACACAUGCAAGUCGAGCGAAGUGCUUGGAGAUGAUUUCUUCGGACUGAUUCACCAAGUAUCUUAGCGGCGGACGGGUGAGUAACGCGUGAGAAACCUGCCUUUCACAAAGGGAUAGCCUCGGGAAACUGGGAUUAAUACCUUAUGAAACUGUAUUACCGCAUGGUAGAACAGUCAAAGCGCUUAAGCGGUGAGAGAUGGUCUCGCGUCCCAUUAGCUAGUUGGUGAGAUAAAAGCCCACCAAGGCGACGAUGGGUAGCCGGCCUGAGAGGGUGACCGGCCACACUGGAACUGAGACACGGUCCAGACUCCUACGGGAGGCAGCAGUGGGGAGUAUUGCACAAUGGAGGGAACUCUGAUGCAGCGACGCCGCGUGAGUGAUGAAGGCUUUCGAGUCGUAAAACUCUGUCCUUGGGGACGAUAAUGACGGUACCCAAGGAGGAAGCCCCGGCUAACUACGUGCCAGCAGCCCGCGGUAAUACGUAGGGGGCGAGCGUUGUCCGGAAUUAUUGGGCGUAAAGGGUUCGCAAGCCGGCC